Molecule: ribosomal RNA, 332 nt
Filed under: uncultured eukaryote
Lineage: Eukaryota
Description: partial 18S ribosomal RNA
Rfam family: Eukaryotic small subunit ribosomal RNA
Source: RNAcentral
CCCUUAGAUGUUCUGGGCUGCACACGUCCUACACUGGCAGGUUCAGCGAGCUUCAUGCCCUGAUCUGAAAGGAAUGGGAAAUCUUUUCAAAACCUGCCGUGCUUGGGAUAGAUGUUUGCAAUUAUUCAUCUUCAACGAGGAUUGCCUUGUAAGCGCACGUCAUCAGCGUGCAUUGAAUACGACCCUGUAUUCUGUACACACCGCCCGUCGCUCCUACCGAUUGAAGUUUUCGGUGAGUUGACAGGAGGAUUUUUUUGAAACUGGUUCGCCAGUGGAUUUUAGAUCCAAAUGCCAACGAAUCGAUGGCUUUAGAGGAAGGAGAAGUCGUAACA